CGAAAGCCUGACGGAGCAACGCCGCGUGAGGGAGGAAGGCCUUAGGGUUGUAAACCUCUUUUCUCUGGGAAGAAGAACUGACGGUACCAGAGGAAUAAGCCUCGGCUAACUCCGUGCCAGCAGCCGCGGUAAGACGGAGGAGGCAAGCGUUAUCCGGAAUUAUUGGGCGUAAAGCGUCCGCAGGCGGCUUUUUAAGUCUGUUGUCAAAGCCCACAGCUCAACUGUGGAUCGGCAAUGGAAACUGGGGAGCUUGAGUGUGGUAGGGGUAGAGGGAAUUCCUGGUGUAGCGGUGAAAUGCGUAGAUAUCAGGAAGAACACCAGUGGCGAAGGCGCUCUGCUGGGCCAUAACUGACGCUGAUGGACGAAAGCUAGGGGAGCG
RNAcentral lists this ribosomal RNA (379 nucleotides) under uncultured cyanobacterium. RNAcentral describes it as "bacterial SSU rRNA". It matches the Rfam family "Bacterial small subunit ribosomal RNA", at positions 376 to 770 of the family's 1533-position model. The record is from RNAcentral. Lineage: Bacteria; Bacillati; Cyanobacteriota.